GACGGGGCCCGCACAAGCGGUGGAGCAUGUGGUUUAAUUCGAAGCAACGCGAAGAACCUUACCAGGUCUUGACAUCCGAUGCUAUUUCUAGAGAUAGAAAGUUACUUCGGUACAUCGGUGACAGGUGGCGCAUGGUUGUCGUCAGCUCGUGUCGUGAGAUGUUGGGUUAAGUCCCGCAACGAGCGCAACCCUCGACCUUAGUUGCCAGCAUUCAGUUGGGCACUCUAAGGUGACUGCCGGCUAAAAGUCGGAGGAAGGUGGGGAUGACGUCAAAUCAUCAUGCCCCUUAUGACCUGGGCUACACACGUGCUACAAUGGGCGGUACAAAGGGUCGCGAACCCGCGAGGGGGAGCCAAUCCCAAAAAGCCGCUCUCAGUUCGGAUUGCAGGCUGCAACCCGCCUGCAUGAAGCCGGAAUCGCUAGUAAUCGCGGAUCAGCACGCCGCGGUGAAUACGUUCCCGGGCCUU
Molecule: ribosomal RNA, 467 nt
Filed under: uncultured Anoxybacillus sp.
Lineage: Bacteria; Bacillati; Bacillota; Bacilli; Caryophanales; Anoxybacillaceae
Description: bacterial SSU rRNA
Rfam family: Bacterial small subunit ribosomal RNA
Source: RNAcentral